GAUGAACGCUGGCGGCGUGCCUAAUACAUGCAAGUCGAGCGAACAGAUAAGGAGCUUGCUCCUUUGACGUUAGCGGCGGACGGGUGAGUAACACGUGGGUAACCUACCUAUAAGACUGGGAUAACUUCGGGAAACCGGAGCUAAUACCGGAUAAUAUUUCGAACCGCAUGGUUCGAUAGUGAAAGAUGGUUUUGCUAUCACUUAUAGAUGGACCCGCGCCGUAUUAGCUAGUUGGUAAGGUAACGGCUUACCAAGGCGACGAUACGUAGCCGACCUGAGAGGGUGAUCGGCCACACUGGAACUGAGACACGGUCCAGACUCCUACGGGAGGCAGCAGUAGGGAAUCUUCCGCAAUAGGCGAAAGCCUGACGGAGCAACGCCGCGUGAGUGAUGAAGGUCUUCGGAUCGUAAAACUCUGUUAUUAGGGAAGAACAUACGUGUAAGUAACUGUGCACGUCUUGACGGUACCUAAUCAGAAAGCCACGGCUAACUACGUG
RNAcentral lists this ribosomal RNA (497 nucleotides) under uncultured bacterium. Its description in RNAcentral is "partial 16S ribosomal RNA". It matches the Rfam family "Bacterial small subunit ribosomal RNA", at positions 28 to 507 of the family's 1533-position model. The record is from RNAcentral.